This is a long non-coding RNA of Amphiprion ocellaris (clown anemonefish), 1184 nucleotides long. RefSeq lists it as uncharacterized. NCBI's taxonomy places the organism in Eukaryota, Metazoa, Chordata, Actinopteri, Pomacentridae. The record is from RefSeq and is a predicted model, not a curated record. The transcript is spliced from 3 exons.
CGCUGAUCAGUUUGUGUGUUGUGUGUUUGAGAAACAGUUUAAUUUUAUUUUGUUGCUAAUUUAGUGACAUGCUCAUUUUAAAAUGGACGACAUUGGAAGUUUAGAAGUCAGGGGCAGAUCUAUAUGCUGAACUCAGCCUAGUCAGACGAGAUUGUGAAGGUCCUGGAUGUUCUCAGUGGAAACUUUGUGACAGCAGCUUUGUUGCACACUGACAGGAAUAUCUGUGUGUCAUUGAGGGAGUCUGGAGAACUGCAGCUGUGGUCCUCAGAUGGUAUCUGCAUCAGUUCGCUGUUUCUUCAAGCUGAGGUCAGAUUGACAACAUAUGAACAUUUGGAACAUGUGUAUUGUGCCACUUUAGUACAAGUGUUCUAUGAUUAUUGUCUAUAAAUGACUUUAAAUUAACCAAACAAUUAUAUUUUUAAGAAUACUGAGAAAGAAUUUAGUUCUAAACAUGUGAAAAACAAUUAAUCUGUGUCUGUUUAGGUGACAAGUCUAGCCUGCUGUCCUAUUGCACAUUAUGCAGCUGUUGUUCAGCAGUGAAUUCAGUUUUAUGUAACGUCUAGUACAAAAAUAGUGUUUGAUUGGUCAAUGAUGUCCCUCUGCACCCAUAAUAAGUAGCAACAAGUAAUCUAUAUGAAAGAUAAUAGUUUUAGAAAUGCUUUCUAACAGAAAUACCUCUCAUACUAUGCAGGUCCAAACAGAAACAGCAUUUACCAAACAGUACAGUAGUGUUUUGUUUUCAGUCAUACUACUGCAAGUCUGAUGGCAGCUAUUAAGAGUUCUAAUUUCCUUUUUUUAUUACUUUUUGCAGCUUAUUUCUUCAUUUUUUUGGUGAUAAUUCUACUGUCUUGAUGUCAGAUCUUUGAACCACCUUGUGUUAACUUGGGGGAAACAUGAUGUUUUUUUAUGCAUUUGUAAGACAAACAGAAAAUUCAGAUUUAUUCCAGAGUCAUUGCAUGGACAGAUUUUAUUUUCAGUGACACUUUGGAUUAUUGAAAACACCCUGAGUUAAGCGAUUAUUGUAUGUCGUUGCCAUUAUGGGAAUUCCAUCUUUUCCUCUGAUAACAAAAUACCUCGUAAAUGUGCAUUGAAGGCACAUUUUUGAUCUUUUGAACUGUUAUUACAUCAGAGUUAAAAAACAAACAAACAAAUAAACAAAAAAAAACUUAAGAUAUGAUUAUAAA